Molecule: small nuclear RNA, 140 nt
Filed under: Nematostella vectensis (starlet sea anemone)
Lineage: Eukaryota; Metazoa; Cnidaria; Anthozoa; Actiniaria; Edwardsiidae
Description: U4 spliceosomal RNA
Rfam family: U4 spliceosomal RNA
About the family: U4 small nuclear RNA (U4 snRNA) is a component of the major U2-dependent spliceosome. The structure of U4 snRNA from yeast and human has been reported.
Source: Rfam by way of RNAcentral
AGCUUUGCGCAGUGACAUUACCGUAGCUGAUGAGGUCCAUCCGAGGCGCCAUUAUUGCAGAUUAAAAAAAUUUUCCCAAUACCCCGCGAGACGACUUGAAACAUAGUCGGCUUUGCAAUUUUUGUGGGCCCUGCUUAGGG